AGAGUGAACGCUGGCGGCAGGCCUAACACAUGCAAGUCGAACGGCAGCACAGGAGAGCUUGCUCUCUGGGUGGCGAGUGGCGGACGGGUGAGGAAUACGUCGGAAUCUGCCUAUUUGUGGGGGAUAACGUAGGGAAACUUACGCUAAUACCGCAUACGACCUACGGGUGAAAGCGGAGGACCUUCGGGCUUCGCGCAGAUAGAUGAGCCGACGUCGGAUUAGCUAGUUGGCGGGUAAAGGCCCACCAAGGCGACGAUCCGUAGCUGGUCUGAGAGGAUGAUCAGCCACACUGGAACUGACGACACGGUCCAGGACUCCGUA
Molecule: ribosomal RNA, 321 nt
Filed under: uncultured soil bacterium
Lineage: Bacteria
Description: bacterial SSU rRNA
Rfam family: Bacterial small subunit ribosomal RNA
Source: RNAcentral